This 423-nucleotide ribosomal RNA is filed under the name uncultured bacterium. Its description in RNAcentral is "bacterial SSU rRNA". It matches the Rfam family "Bacterial small subunit ribosomal RNA", at positions 772 to 1195 of the family's 1533-position model. The record is from RNAcentral.
ACAGGAUUAGAUACCCUGGUAGUCCACGCUGUAAACGAUGUCGAUUUGGAGGUUGUGCCCUUGAGGCGUGGCUUCCGGAGCUAACGCGUUAAAUCGACCGCCUGGGGAGUACGGCCGCAAGGUUAAAACUCAAAUGAAUUGACGGGGGCCCGCACAAGCGGUGGAGCAUGUGGUUUAAUUCGAUGCAACGCGAAGAACCUUACCUACUCUUGACAUCCAGAGAACUUAGCAGAGAUGCUUUGGUGCCUUCGGGAACUCUGAGACAGGUGCUGCAUGGCUGUCGUCAGCUCGUGUUGUGAAAUGUUGGGUUAAGUCCCGCAACGAGCGCAACCCUUAUCCUUUGUUGCCAGCGGUUCGGCCGGGAACUCAAAGGAGACUGCCAGUGAUAAACUGGAGGAAGGUGGGGAUGACGUCAAGUCAUCA